UACGUAGGGUGCAAGCGUUAAUCGGAAUUACUGGGCGUAAAGCGUGCGCAGGCGGUGAUGUAAGACAGAUGUGAAAUCCCCGGGCUCAACCUGGGAACUGCAUUUGUGACUGCAUCGCUGGAGUACGGCAGAGGGGGAUGGAAUUCCGGCGUGUAGCAGUGAAAUGCGUAGAUAUGCGGAGGAACACCGAUGGCGAAGGCAGCCCCUUGGACCUGUACUGACGCUCAUGCACGAAAGCGUGGGGAGCAAACAGG
Molecule: ribosomal RNA, 254 nt
Filed under: uncultured bacterium
Lineage: Bacteria
Description: partial 16S ribosomal RNA
Rfam family: Bacterial small subunit ribosomal RNA
Source: RNAcentral